This is a non-coding RNA of Oryza sativa Japonica Group (Japanese rice), 3589 nucleotides long. The record is from RefSeq and is a predicted model, not a curated record. Lineage: Eukaryota; Viridiplantae; Streptophyta; Magnoliopsida; Poales; Poaceae.
UCGUGGCGCAGAUCACGACUCCCUACCUCUCUCGAUCAGAUCGCGCUCGCCCCUUCCAGACGCGCGCCUUGCGCUCGCCCUGCGCCACCGCCGCCGCUGCCGAUCCGGUCUCCACACCGCGCCGCCGCCCCUCGCCUCUCCACCGCGUCGGUCUCCUCUGCGAGCGCCGUCGCCCCCCCCUCCCUCUCCACCGCGCCGGUCUCCUCCGACAAACUGCUGCGGCGACUUCCUCCUCGGCCUCCGCCUCAACCGCCACCGAUACGGAGCCACGCCGCUGAUUCCUCCAGAUCAGGCACCACCAAGUCGUCGUCCAUCGUGCCUCCUCCACCAGUCGCGCUGCCCCGCCGCCACGAUUCACCACCGCCAGGUCAUUGUACAGCAGUGUCGAUACCCCUCCCAACCACUCGGCCUGCUCUGCUCCGUCCCUUCUCAUGAAAAAAAAACCUAAACUGCAACUCCUCCGCCGCCGCCACAUUUGCCGACUGCUCCUGACGACCGAGAGAAAUGUGAUCCCUCGCCGCCCCAAAGAAGCGACCUGAGACCAACGACAGUCACGGCCACCAGCAGCCAGGGCCAGCGAGAUGCUAUAUUGAACAGCAGGGCAACAUGCAUAUCUCUGAAUUUGCAUGUAAUUUUCUGAAUUUGCAGGUAUUUCGCUGAGUUUAACUUGCAGUGCAAAUGCAGGUAUCCAUUAAAUGACGAUGAUCACUAAUUUUAAAAGAUUCCUCAAACUACAUUGUGCCGAAAUUGUUUGGUUCUGCUUGAAUUAUUGCUUCAUCGGGCAUCAGCUGCAUAGUAUGAGACUGAGUUUGCUAGAGACAAAUAGGAUAAUGACUUUUUAAAAAGUACAGGACAACAUGGCUAAAAUCCAUAAGGAUCGAUUUUGUGUGAUGUUUUAUGAAUAUGGAGCCACGCCGCCGUCCCUCCGCUGCCGAAGGUACAUAACCCCUUCUCCCCAAUCCUCGCCCCCCUAAAUCCCCCUGCCAUCGAUCUUCCAUCAACGCGGCGACGCUGGCAGUAUUCAACACAAUGCAGUAAACACAAUGAAUCAGGGAAUGAAUUGAACAAAUGGCGACGGUCGUUCUGUGUAGAAAAUGGUUCAUUGGAUAUAGUAUUGGAUGUUGUAUUGCCUAUUCUCUGUAGAUUUUGUAGUUGUUAGAACUUUACAUAUAUGGUGACACUUAUUGCAUUGAUACUCUCCUGAUGAUUUUUGGUUUUCAUCACUUAGCUGUCCAUGUUGAUUUGUAUCGUGUUUUGACAGUAGUAAUAAUAUUAAGACUAUAUCAUUUUUCUAAACAUGCAUGCAAGCCUGCAAAUUUGUUGGCUGACCAAGUCUAGCUGCAAGAGACAUCAAGUCUAUACAUAACUAAAAUGCACAAAAUAAGCAUUUUUGUAUGUUGUUGAUUUUCUAACGAAUGGUUUCCAUAGUCUAUGAGCAGAUAUCAUCCAAUAUUUAUGUAUGUUGUUGGCUUUGCAUCUGACUAUUGGAACUGUUGGAUAAUGAAGCUAACAUAUAAAGAGUGGUUUGGUUAGGCUUUGGGCCUGAAGUUUCAACAUUAUUGAUUUGAUUAUUUGAUCACAUUUUCUACUUGCCAUACUAAUCAAAACGCCAUGGCUAGCUACCUGCAGGAUUUGAUUAUUUUUCCUCAGAUUUACAAACAAAACUGAAUCUGCAUGCUACCUUGUUCAGGCCUCAUUCAGAUCACUUUCAUGGCUAGCUACCUGCAGGUGAUCUCUCUACGGAACCGAAGAUCACGAUGCAACGCUGGCAUAGUAUUGAUCAAUUGAGUGUCACUGCCAAGAGCUCCAUGACCUAGGUCAACAGGCAACCAAUUUUCGUUGUAUGGAAACUGAAAGCAGUGAAUAAGCUCUGGAAGAAUGGACUGCAUUCCUUCAUGUAAGAGCAUUUUACAUUUUUGUCAUUUUUUCUUAUUUGAUUAUUAUCAUUGUCUCCCAAGUGCCUUUUUCUAUAGUGUGUACUGUAACAUGAACAUUCCUGAGAAAACGGUUCAUUUAAUAUCAUCAUAAUGCCUAUAUGAUUUAUGUGUUCAUUUUAAUAUACUGAAAUUGCCAUGUGUUGGAUUUACAGCUAUGAAGUUCUAUGUUUAGCAGAUGGUAUUGUUCUUUGCAGGUAUGAAAAUUAUCUGUAUGCUUCUUUGCAGGUAUGUGUCUCUAGCAAAGAUUUAGCAAAAAUUAGGAAAAAAAUAUAAACUACACAAAAGGAAUAUGUACUUUAAGUCAUUUGUGACACUACUGGAGAAGAGGUCUUUGAAGGGUCGGCCGAUUUCCACAAUAGUCCCGGUUCCAAAACGAACCGGGACUAAAGUGUCUUAUUAGUCCCGGUUUAUUACUUCAACGGGACGAAGGGAUCUUUAGUCCCGGUUGGUAAUUUUUAGUCCCGGUUCGCCUCCUGACAGGACAUGUCAGACCUCUGUCGGGAGGCUUGGGAUCUUUAGUCCCGGUUCGUGUUACCAACCGGGACUAAAGAUCAUAUCUUUAGUCCCGGUUGGUAAUAUAAACCGGGACUAAAGUGAUUUGAGAUCUUUAACCAACCGGGACUAAAGUUGCACAGCUUUAUAUGCCCCUUCUUCCUCCUCCAGCCCGAGCCAUUGCUUCAAAAUUAAGCUUUGAGGGAGGGAGGUGCUGUCAAAAUUUUAAGAAAAUUUUUUUGGUGGUAAUAUACAAAUUUGAGGUCUUCAAAAGGUUAGCAACUUCAUCCUACUCUUUGUUUUGCUUAGCAUCUACAUUUGGAGCUAUUCUUUUUACAUAUUUUUCCCUCUAGAAAAUGUGAUGGAAUAUGAUGAGAGAGAAAGUGUGUGUAGGGAAUAAAGAAGAUUAUAAAUACUUGUUUGAAUAAUUACAUAUAAUUUUGUAUGAAUUAUAAAACUAAGCUAAUUUAAUAUUAAAAUAAGAAAAACAUAUUAAAUAUUUGUUUAUAAUGUAAUUAAAACAUGAAAAAUAUGUACAAUGAAUUUAAUAAUAAUGAUUAAUUGUAUGAAUAAUUAUAUUCAAUUAUUGUAUUAUUAUGUAAUUACCUCGUAAAUCUUGGAUUUUGUAUAAUUACGAUUUAUAUGUAUUUCAUAUAGAUGGAUCGGCAAUGGAUGUACGUGGAUCGGCGGUCGAAAGAGUUUAUUGACGGCGUGCAUUAUUUUUUUGUGUGGCCAAUGAUAACAAGCGUAACGGUUUUAUAAGUUGUCCAUGCGACAUGUGCAAAAACCAGAAGGAGUAUUCCACCACACGAACUAUUCAUGCCCACCUGUUUCAGUGGGGGUUCAUGCGUAGCUACAAUUGUUGGACAUCGCACGGAGAGGUUGGGAUUGCAAUGGAAGAAGAUGAAGUAGAAGAUGAGAACAUUCCGGACUGGGCUCAGUAUGGCGGAUUUGAAGAAAACACAAUGGGCGAGGCGAAGCUGGAUGUUGAAGGGAAUGACGGUGUUGAUAAACUUGGUCAAAUAUUGCGGGACUUACAGGAGGACUGCGAAAGUGAAAAGGAGGUUGUAGACCCCCGUUUUUAUAACAGGAAUCAAUCGUGUAAACAGUACCAUUUCCCUGGAUCAAGUUGUCUGGUACACACGAAUUCAUAGCUGAAA